RNAcentral lists this ribosomal RNA (701 nucleotides) under Bacillus mojavensis. RNAcentral's name for it is "bacterial SSU rRNA". It matches the Rfam family "Bacterial small subunit ribosomal RNA", at positions 58 to 739 of the family's 1533-position model. Lineage: Bacteria; Bacillati; Bacillota; Bacilli; Caryophanales; Bacillaceae. The record is from RNAcentral.
CAAGUUCGAAGCGGACAGAUGGGAGCUUGCUCCCUGAUGUUAGCGGCGGACGGGUGACCAAAGGCCGGGUAACCUGCCUGUAAGACUGGGAUAACUCCGGGAAACCGGGGCUAAUACCGGAUGCUUGUUUGAACCGCAUGGUUCAAACAUAAAAGGUGGCUUCGGCUACCACUUACAGAUGGACCCGCGGCGCAUUAGCUAGUUGGUGAGGUAACGGCUCACCAAGGCAACGAUGCGUAGCCGACCUGAGAGGGUGAUCGGCCACACUGGGACUGAGACACGGCCCAGACUCCUACGGGAGGCAGCAGUAGGGAAUCUUCCGCAAUGGACGAAAGUCUGACGGAGCAACGCCGCGUGAGUGAUGAAGGUUUUCGGAUCGUAAAGCUCUGUUGUUAGGGAAGAACAAGUACCGUUCGAAUAGGGCGGUACCUUGACGGUACCUAACCAGAAAGCCACGGCUAACUACGUGCCAGCAGCCGCGGUAAUACGUAGGUGGCAAGCGUUGUCCGGAAUUAUUGGGCGUAAAGGGCUCGCAGGCGGUUCCUUAAGUCUGAUGUGAAAGCCCCCGGCUCAACCGGGGAGGGUCAUUGGAAACUGGGGAACUUGAGUGCAGAAGAGGAGAGUGGAAUUCCACGUGUAGCGGUGAAAUGCGUAGAGAUGUGGAGGAACACCAGUGGCGAAGGCGACUCUCUGGUCUGUAA